Molecule: ribosomal RNA, 245 nt
Filed under: uncultured bacterium
Lineage: Bacteria
Description: partial 16S ribosomal RNA
Rfam family: Bacterial small subunit ribosomal RNA
Source: RNAcentral
UAGGGGGCAAGCGUUAUCCGGAUUCACUGGGCGUAAAGGGAGCGUAGACGGCCAUGCAAGCCUGGAGUGAACACCCGGGGCCCAACCCCGGGACUGCUCUGGGAACUGUGCGGCUAGAGUGCGGGAGGGGCAGGCGGAAUUCCUGGUGUAGCGGUGAAAUGCGUAGAUAUCAGGAGGAACACCGGCGGCGAAGGCGGCCUGCUGGACCGCGACUGACGUUGAGGCUCGAAAGCGUGGGGAGCAAA